This 226-nucleotide long non-coding RNA is filed under the name Citrus sinensis (sweet orange). RNAcentral describes it as "long non-coding RNA (CSIN_LNC001349)". The record is from RNAcentral. Lineage: Eukaryota; Viridiplantae; Streptophyta; Magnoliopsida; Sapindales; Rutaceae.
GAGGCCCAAAACGACGCCGCGGUAGCAGCAGAGACUCCACAAGAAACACAACCACAGGCACAAUGUUCACAACCACCGGAACCUCAAGUUAUCAGCGGCAACUUUGCUAAUCAAACGCUUAAUAGGAACCGUACACGCGGCUCAAGAUCCGGGAGGCCACGAAAAUUCCCCCGGUCUCACUCAACCGGGCAUUCCUUGGUCCAACCAGGUGAAGAUACCGAGCGGU